UAGUCCACGCUGUAAACGAUGUCGAUUUGGAGUUUGUUGCCUAGAGUGAUGGGCUCCGAAGCUAACGCGAUAAAUCGACCGCCUGGGGAGUACGGCCGCAAGGUUAAAACUCAAAUGAAUUGACGGGGGCCCGCACAAGCGGUGGAGCAUGUGGUUUAAUUCGAUGCAACGCGAAGAACCUUACCUGGUCUUGACAUCCAUAGAAUUCUGCAGAGAUGUGGGAGUGCCUUCGGGAACUAUGAGACAGGUGCUGCAUGGCUGUCGUCAGCUCGUGUUGUGAAAUGUUGGGUUAAGUCCCGCAACGAGCGCAACCCUUAUUCUUUGUUGCCAGCGAUUUGGUCGGGAACUCAAAGGAGACUGCCGUUGAUAAAGCGGAGGAAGGUGGGGACGACGUCAAGUCAUCAUGGCCCUUACGACCAGGGCUACACACGUGCUACAAUGGCGUAUACAAAGGGAAGCGAAGGUGCGAGCUGGAGCGGAUCUCAUAAAGUACGUCUAAGUUCGGAUUGGAGUCUGCAACUCGACUCCAUGAAGUCGGAAUCGCUAGUAAUCGUAGACCAGAAUGCUACGGUGAAUACGUUCCCGGGCCUUGUACACACCGCCCGUCACACCAUGGGAGUGGGUUGCACCAGAAGUAGAUAGCUUAACCGCGAGGGGGGCGUUUACCACGGUGUGAUUCAUGACUGGGGUGAAGUCGUAACAAGGUAACCA
This 711-nucleotide ribosomal RNA is filed under the name uncultured Enterobacteriaceae bacterium. RNAcentral's name for it is "bacterial SSU rRNA". It matches the Rfam family "Bacterial small subunit ribosomal RNA", at positions 791 to 1502 of the family's 1533-position model. Lineage: Bacteria; Pseudomonadati; Pseudomonadota; Gammaproteobacteria; Enterobacterales; Enterobacteriaceae. The record is from RNAcentral.